GCUCAGAUUGAACGCUGGCGGCAUGCUUUACACAUGCAAGUCGAACGGCAGCGCGGGGCAACCYGGCGGSGAGUGGCGAACGGGUGAGUAAUAUAUCGGAACGUACCCAAGAGUGGGGGAUAACGUAGCGAAAGUUACGCUAAUACCGCAUACGAUCUAUGGAKGAAAGUGGGGGAUUYGCAAGAACCUCAUGCUCCUGGAGCGGCCGAUAUCUGAUUAGCUAGUUGGUAGGGUAAAGGCCUACCAAGGCUACGAUCAGUAGCUGGUCUGAGAGGACGACCAGCCACACUGGAACUGAGACACGGUCCAGACUCCUACGGGAGGCAGCAGUGGGGAAUUUUGGACAAUGGGCGCAAGCCUGAUCCAGCAAUGCCGCGUGAGUGAAGAAGGCCUUCGGGUUGUAAAGCUCUUUUGUCAGGGAAGAAACGGUGGGAGCUAAUAUCUCUUACUAAUGACGGUA
RNAcentral lists this ribosomal RNA (460 nucleotides) under Massilia sp. R-42682. RNAcentral describes it as "bacterial SSU rRNA". It matches the Rfam family "Bacterial small subunit ribosomal RNA", at positions 22 to 477 of the family's 1533-position model. The record is from RNAcentral. Lineage: Bacteria; Pseudomonadati; Pseudomonadota; Betaproteobacteria; Burkholderiales; Oxalobacteraceae.